RNAcentral lists this ribosomal RNA (497 nucleotides) under uncultured bacterium. Its description in RNAcentral is "partial 16S ribosomal RNA". It matches the Rfam family "Bacterial small subunit ribosomal RNA", at positions 28 to 507 of the family's 1533-position model. The record is from RNAcentral.
GAUGAACGCUGGCGGCGUGCCUAAUACAUGCAAGUCGAGCGAACGGACGAGAAGCUUGCUUCUCUGAUGUUAGCGGCGGACGGGUGAGUAACACGUGGAUAACCUACCUAUAAGACUGGGAUAACUUCGGGAAACCGGAGCUAAUACCGGAUAAUAUUUUGAACCGCAUGGUUCAAAAGUGAAAGACGGUCUUGCUGUCACUUAUAGAUGGAUCCGCGCUGCAUUGGCUAGUUGGUAAGGUAACGGCUUACCAAGGCAACGAUGCAUAGCCGACCUGAGAGGGUGAUCGGCCACACUGGAACUGAGACACGGUCCAGACUCUGACGGGAGGCAGCAGUAGGGAAUCUUCCGCAAUGGGCGAAAGCCUGACGGAGCAACGCCGCGGGAGUGAUGAAGGUCUUCGGAUCGUAAAACUCUGUUAUUAGGGAAGAACAUAUGUGUAAGUAACUGUGCACAUCUUGACGGUACCUAAUCAGAAAGCCACGGCUAACUACGUG